UGAAAAUGGCGGCUUGUGCUAGAAGGGAGAAAGGUCUUUACGCAGCUUUAAACAGCGCAUCAACAGCUGACGUUCUCCCUCGCAGUGUCAAAAAGAGAAGAAAAGCAUCGAGCCAAAUGCGGGAAGUAGAGCGUCUUAUCGCUCGAAGGGAAAGUGCUACGGGUACUGAGUACUUAGUUUUAUGGAAGGGAUAUUCUCCUUAUGACUCUAGCUGGGAACCGGAGGAAAAUGUCACCCUCGAUUGUAUCCGAUUAUUUGAGAAUCCAUCCCCAGCAGAGUUAAUAGUAUUUGAUGAUUGUACAACUCUUCGAGUGGCGGUAGAGCAGCACUUAAAAUCUGAAACAAGCCUCAAUACAGCUACAGGCUUUAGACAACUGUGAUUCAAGCCUUGCACUUGCGCUGUUUAGACGAAAUGCAGUUCCUGGUAUAUUCAAAUUUACUAGGUCAAUAUACCGUACCCCAGCACCGAGGGUUCCUGAAAGCAGAUAUCUUCUCCAGGUGGCAAGGGCCUCUAAUUUCACGACCUCAUUGUCUCUUUGACAUUACUCCUUGACAUAAUUAAACUGUGUAUUUUGGCACUCCACUAGGGAAAGAAUUUCUUUUGAUUGAAAGACAGACGACAUUUCGAAAAUUCGCUUGGUGCAUGUAGCAUAAACAAUACAAACGUAAUAACAUUGGCACACCUAUGAACUUUCUUUGAAAAAACCCGCGAAAAGUUCGCAGAAAGUAUGGGUAAUUUCAGCUCCAGUCUCCCUAGGUAAAAUCAAUGCUUUACUUUAACGCCUGGGGAAUUGUUUUGUUAAAAAUGGCGUACUCGAAGGUGAAAGCGGCAGCUUUUCUCUCUCGAAUCCGCCAUAGAGUGUAGGUUAUGUCGCGUUUAUCGGAGCGACAAGUGUUUUCAGCUUUGAAAACCGAACCCAUCUAGUGAAGAAUCGACGAGAUAUUGUGCACUAAAACGAAGUGAUGUUGGAAUUUACUAAAUGGAUAGAAGUUAAAUGAAAGAACAAUAACAGCUGAUGCAACAAAUGAUGUUACCUUUUCACGUAAAGAGCUCCUUGAAAACUUGCUGGCCA
RNAcentral lists this unclassified non-coding RNA (1073 nucleotides) under Stylophora pistillata. RNAcentral describes it as "chromobox protein homolog 3-like, transcript variant X1". Lineage: Eukaryota; Metazoa; Cnidaria; Anthozoa; Scleractinia; Pocilloporidae. The record is from RNAcentral.